Long non-coding RNA from Budorcas taxicolor (takin), 412 nucleotides. RefSeq lists it as uncharacterized. NCBI's taxonomy places the organism in Eukaryota, Metazoa, Chordata, Mammalia, Artiodactyla, Bovidae. The transcript has 3 exons. The record is from RefSeq and is a predicted model, not a curated record.
CCGGGCCGCCAGUCCCGCAGAUCUGCUUCCGGGUUGGCAGGAAAUGGCGCUGCCGGGGGCGUGACCGGGGGGCGUGGCUUUGGGCGUGGCCGCCCGCCUCCCCUCCCCUGGGCGUUUGCGGGCGGUGGGUACCGCGUCUUUGAGUCUCCAUCGCAUUGGGACGUUGUCCCGUGUCCGGCCACUGGCUCCGCGCCCACGUUCCCUCCAGUCAGAUGUUUACGGUGCUUUCAGGGUCAUUUCUAGGAGGCAGCUUUGAGAGCAGUGUGGUGUCGAGACCAUAUGGAUGGUGUGUGUGACUGAGGCUCCAUUAAGGCCGCUCAAAAUGCUUAAGAUUCUGGGAGAUGGAUGUGGAGAUCUACCCACCUUGUAGCUGCCCUAGACAAGCCUCACAUCUGGGACGUCUGUAUUCUCC